RNAcentral lists this ribosomal RNA (256 nucleotides) under uncultured bacterium. RNAcentral describes it as "partial 16S ribosomal RNA". It matches the Rfam family "Bacterial small subunit ribosomal RNA", at positions 524 to 776 of the family's 1533-position model. The record is from RNAcentral.
UACGAAAGGGGGCUAGCGUUGUUCGGAAUUAUUGGGCGUAAAGGGUGCGUAGGCGGUUCCGCAAGUCCUGUGUGAAAUCUUCGGGCUCAACUCGAAGUCUGCACGGGAAACUGCGGGGCUUGAGUGUGGGAGAGGUGAGUGGAAUUCCCGGUGUAGCGGUGAAAUGCGUAGAGAGUCCGGAAGAACACCGGUGGCGAAGGCGGCCUGCUGGGCAGUAGCUGACGCUGAUGCGCGACAGCGUGGGGGAGCAAACAGG